AUUGAACGCUGGCGGCAUGCUUUACACAUGCAAGUCGAACGGUAACAGGCCGCAAGGUGCUGACGAGUGGCGAACGGGUGAGUAAUGCAUCGGAACGUGCCCAGUCGUGGGGGAUAACUACUCGAAAGAGUAGCUAAUACCGCAUACGAUCUAUGGAUGAAAGCGGGGGACCUUAAGGCCUCGCGCGAUUGGAGCGGCCGAUGUCAGAUUAGGUAGUUGGUGGGGUAAAGGCUCACCAAGCCAACGAUCUGUAGCUGGUCUGAGAGGACGACCAGCCACACUGGGACUGAGACACGGCCCAGACUCCUACGGGAGGCAGCAGUGGGGAAUUUUGGACAAUGGGCGCAAGCCUGAUCCAGCAAUGCCGCGUGCAGGAAGAAGGCCUUCGGGUUGUAAACUGCUUUUGUACGGAACGAAACGGCUCUGGUUAAUACCCGGGGCUAAUGACGGUACCGUAAGAAUAAGCACCGGCUAACUACGUG
RNAcentral lists this ribosomal RNA (482 nucleotides) under uncultured bacterium. Its description in RNAcentral is "partial 16S ribosomal RNA". It matches the Rfam family "Bacterial small subunit ribosomal RNA", at positions 30 to 507 of the family's 1533-position model. The record is from RNAcentral.